RNAcentral lists this ribosomal RNA (488 nucleotides) under uncultured archaeon. Its description in RNAcentral is "bacterial SSU rRNA". It matches the Rfam family "Archaeal small subunit ribosomal RNA", at positions 862 to 1349 of the family's 1478-position model. The record is from RNAcentral.
GAAUUGGCGGGGGAGCACAACAACGGGUGGAGCCUGCGGUUUAAUUGGACUCAACGCCGGACAACUCACCGGGAACGACAGCAAUAUGUAGGCCAGGCUGAAGACCUUGCCUGAAUCGCUGAGAGGAGGUGCAUGGCCGUCGCCAGUUCGUACUGUGAAGCAUCCUGUUAAGUCAGGCAACGAGCGAGACCCGUGCCCACUGUUACCAGCAUAUCCUCCGGGAUGAUGGGUACUCUGUGGGGACCGCUGAUGUUAAAUCAGAGGAAGGUGCGGGCUACGGUAGGUCAGUAUGCCCCGAAUUUCCCGGGCUACACGCGGGCUACAAUGAAUGGGACAAUGGGCCCCUACCCUGAAAAGGGUUGGUAAUCUCACAAACCCAUCCGUAGUUCGGAUUGAGGGCUGUAACUCGCCCUCAUGAAGCUGGAAUCCGUGGUAAUCGCGUUUCAAUAUAGCGCGGUGAAUACGUCCCUGCUCCUUGCACACACCGC